CAGUAGCCGCGGGAAUACGAAGGGGGCUAGCGUUGCUCGGAAUUACUGGGCGUAAAGGGCGCGUAGGCGGCGCUCCAAGUUAGGCGUGAAAUUCCCGGGCUCAACCUGGGGACUGCGCUUAAGACUGGAGUGCUUGAGGAUGGAAGAGGGUUGUGGAAUUCCCAGUGUAGAGGUGAAAUUCGUAGAUAUUGGGGAGAACACCGGUGGCGAAGGCGGCAACCUGGUCCAUUACUGACGCUGAGGCGCGAUAGCGUGGGGAGCAAACAGGAUUAGAUACCCCAGUAGUCCCUGUCUCUUAUAA
RNAcentral lists this ribosomal RNA (301 nucleotides) under uncultured bacterium. RNAcentral's name for it is "partial 16S ribosomal RNA". It matches the Rfam family "Bacterial small subunit ribosomal RNA", at positions 509 to 809 of the family's 1533-position model. The record is from RNAcentral.